GAUGAACGCUGGCGGCGUGCUUAACACAUGCAAGUCGAACGGAAAGGCUCCUGCUUGCAGGGGUACUCGAGUGGCGAACGGGUGAGUAACACGUGGGUGAUCUGCCCUGCACUUCGGGAUAAGCCUGGGAAACUGGGUCUAAUACCGGAUAGGACGAUGGUUCGGAUGCCAUUGUGGAAAGUUUUUCGGUGUGGGAUGAGCUCGCGGCCUAUCAGCUUGUUGGUGGGGUAAUGGCCUACCAAGGCGUCGACGGGUAGCCGGCCUGAGAGGGUGUACGGCCACAUUGGGACUGAGAUACGGCCCAGACUCCUACGGGAGGCAGCAGUGGGGAAUAUUGCACAAUGGGCGCAAGCCUGAUGCAGCGACGCCGCGUGGGGGAUGACGGCCUUCGGGUUGUAAACUCCUUUCGCUAGGGACGAAGCGCAAGUGACGGUACCUGGAGAAGAAGCACCGGCUAACUACGUG
This 465-nucleotide ribosomal RNA is filed under the name uncultured bacterium. RNAcentral's name for it is "partial 16S ribosomal RNA". It matches the Rfam family "Bacterial small subunit ribosomal RNA", at positions 28 to 507 of the family's 1533-position model. The record is from RNAcentral.